AACGUGAACGAGAGAGCGCGUCCCCGUCGCCCCGAAUUUGGGGGGUGCGGGCGGCGUCGUCAUCUUGGAAUAUGUCAAAACGACUCUCGGCAACGGAUAUCUCGGCUCUCGCAUCGAUGAAGAACGUAGCGAAAUGCGAUACUUGGUGUGAAUUGCAGAAUCCCGUGAACCAUCGAGUCUUUGAACGCAAGUUGCGCCCGAAGCCGUUCGGCCGAGGGCACGCCUGCCUGGGCGUCACACGUCGUUGCCCCCCAACCAAUCCCGCGGGAUUGCGGGGGGCGGAUGGUGGCCUCCCGUACGCCCCGUCGCGCGGUUGGCAUAAAUACCAAGUCCCCGGCGACGCACGCCGCGACAAUCGGUGGUUGCGAGACCUCGGUUGCCUGUCGUGCGCGGUCUUUAAGGUCGGAGGGCUCGAAAACAAUGCCGGGCUGCGGCUCGGCUCUCAACGCGACCCCA
This 456-nucleotide ribosomal RNA is filed under the name Prunus africana. RNAcentral describes it as "eukaryotic LSU rRNA". The stretch from base 82 to 237 matches the Rfam family "5.8S ribosomal RNA". Lineage: Eukaryota; Viridiplantae; Streptophyta; Magnoliopsida; Rosales; Rosaceae. The record is from RNAcentral.